AACAAGGUGGAUUAUUCUGGAUCUUAAGUUAUUCAGAAGUUGCUUCCCUUUGACCAAUUCUUAGUAGCAACCAGUCAAGCAUUGCAAUAAGUUCCCGCUGUUAUAUGAAUUUUAGUCACAUGACCCCGCUUUUUAUUCAGUUGUCCGACAUGUUUUCAAGGGGACAGGUGGAAUUGUUCCAUUAUAAUAUAGUUUAUGUUCAUGGAGGAGAUUUGGAUUCUUUUGAGCCUUAUAGUAACACAUGGUGGCAGUGUCAGUAACCAGCUCACUGAGAAAGUACAUUUUUGGUGUGUGUGUGUGUCUGUGAAUUCAGCAAAGAGCCCAAUCCACAAUUGAGCUUGAGAUCUGGGAGAGUUGAGAGAUCAGGGGUAUCAGUGAGAUCCUAUUACAGUACAUAUUCAGUUGGAUUAUAAAUGAGAAACUGUACGAGAUUAUGUAUAUGAUCAAGCUGAUUUUGAUAGAACUUUACCGCAAGAGUUACUUUCUAAAUAUACAAGCACUGAAAAUCAUUUAGUUUAAUAUGAACAUUA
Long non-coding RNA from Mercenaria mercenaria, 530 nucleotides. RefSeq lists it as uncharacterized. The transcript is spliced from 3 exons. Lineage: Eukaryota; Metazoa; Mollusca; Bivalvia; Venerida; Veneridae. The record is from RefSeq and is a predicted model, not a curated record.